Molecule: long non-coding RNA, 1151 nt
Filed under: Monodelphis domestica (gray short-tailed opossum)
Lineage: Eukaryota; Metazoa; Chordata; Mammalia; Didelphimorphia; Didelphidae
Description: lncRNA (ENSMODG00000049987.1)
Source: RNAcentral
GCAUUCUCCUGAACUAGGGGCACACUUUCUCCUCUCUAAUCCAUUUUGUCCCUUAAGAGAGUAAAUACAAAUUGAAGGAUUCUACUCCAAGGAGUCCCCACCAAGCCUGCUUCUGGACAUUCCAGAACCAACAAAUGAAAUGUUUCUUUCCUUUCAGGACACCCUGCCUUGGUUGCUGUAUUAAUUCACUACGGGGUUGGGUUGAAUAGGUCGCUUUAUUCAGGCAUGACUCCUCACGGGUCUCUGCUGUUGCUGCUAUUGCAUCUGGUAGUGAAAGAGAUCAUUGAUGGCUCUCCUCAGCCUUGUGACAUGGUCUGCUCUGUCUCUGACAAUCAUUUGUAUCAUGUCAGGAAAGAAUAAACAAAGAGAGAGGAGAAACAGAGGCAUCCUUUGUUCAUAGUCACAUGAUAGCUGAGUGGCCUAAAAAUGAGUUGUAGAAAGUCAGAGGCCACCAAGCGCUAUUCCUCUCUCAUCACUCCAAAACCUCCGGGGAAGAGAGAGUGAGGGAUGAUCCUUUUCUCCUUUUGUGUGAGCAUUCAUUUCUGCCUCCGGAGAUAACUAAAGAAUUCCUUUGCUACUCAGUCAGCGAAGAAGAAAUAAUCAGAAUGGUUUUGUGUGUUCUCCAAUGGAGGCUCCAGCUUCUUUUUGCUCAAGCCCAGAAGCAAGCUCGCCAAAUUUCUACAUAUUGGCUUCAGGCCAAGCAGAGACACCAGGGUCCAAUGGCAAGGCGAAAAUCAGGAUGACUGGUGAAGGCACAGGAUGCAGUGGAUGACCUUGCUGUCUUUCAUGUCUGACCAGUCUCUGAGCACUCCACAGUGUCUGCUUCGGCCACCUUUAUGGCCACUGGAAGGAAUUGUUCUUGUCUAUCCAUUGUCAUGGGAAGUCUUCACAUGCUUAGGUUUCAACGAUCCUGCCUGUCUUCCUUCCUCCCUCCAAGCGACCACAUCAAUGUCCAGUGCCCCAAAUCCCAAAAUACUCUCCAAACUCAAUGUGAAGCUUCCACUUGGCAGCCAGCUGAGCUCACAGGGAAUGCAAAUGACCUUCUAAUGCCUGGGAUCCAAGAAUGGAGAAACUCGGGGCUCUCACUAGCCCAUCUUGAUGCAUUAGAAAUUUUCUUACAAAAGAAAGAAGGGUCUCUAGAGUUUACUUGA